UUCGAGAAUCUUUCACAAUGGGGGCAACCCUGAUGGAGCGACGCCGCGUGGAGGAUAAGGUCUUCGGAUUGUAAACUCCUGUCAUGCGUGAACAAGGUUGCUUGGUUAAUACCUGGGCAAAUUGAUGGUAACGCAAGAGGAAGAGACGGCUAACUCUGUGCCAGCAGCCGCGGUAAUACAGAGGUCUCAAGCGUUGUUCGGAAUCACUGGGCGUAAAGGGUGCGUAGGUGGCGUGGUAAGUCAGAUGUGAAAGCCCGGGGCUCAACCUCGGAACUGCAUCCGAUACUGCCAUGCUAGAGUACUGGAGAGGUGACUAGAAUUCUCGGUGUAGCAGUGAAAUGCGUAGAUAUCGAGAGGAAUACCAAAGGCGUAGGCAGGUCACUGGACAGUUACUGACACUGAGGCACGAAGGCCAGGGGAGCGAACGGGAUUAGAUACCCGUGUAGUCC
This 449-nucleotide ribosomal RNA is filed under the name uncultured bacterium. Its description in RNAcentral is "partial 16S ribosomal RNA". It matches the Rfam family "Bacterial small subunit ribosomal RNA", at positions 354 to 796 of the family's 1533-position model. The record is from RNAcentral.